This is a long non-coding RNA of Capsicum annuum, 1621 nucleotides long. RefSeq lists it as uncharacterized. Lineage: Eukaryota; Viridiplantae; Streptophyta; Magnoliopsida; Solanales; Solanaceae. The record is from RefSeq and is a predicted model, not a curated record. The transcript is spliced from 2 exons.
AUAUUUUAAAAAGAAUAUUAUUUGUUUACAAAAAAACCCUUGACAUACAAUAACUUUGUAUAUUUACUUUGCAAAGCUUUAUUAUUCUUUUUUUUUUUUUAAAAAAAACCAACAAUAUAACUAUAGUAAUAACUUAUUUUGGAAUUUUAAGAUUUAAUCAUUCACUUACAAAAAAAACAAUUUGUUAUCUUUUCUUUAUUUUUCUGUUGUUCGCACUUUGUGGUGUUCUUAAGUCAGCGGGGAUACGUGUAACUUUUGAAUGGGACAAUUGCAUCGUUGUUAACAUAAAAUUGUGUUCUGUAAAGUGUUAAAUUUAAGAUUUUUUUUUAAUUUGUGAUACAUUCCAUUUACAAAAUUAAAGCUAUAUGCAACCAUGCAAUUUGUUUCGGGCUUUGACAAAUAAGUAUUUUCUAAGUUAAUGGAGUAUUUUUUAAUGAUUAAAAUUAUUUAGAGGAAUAUUAUCAUAUUGAAAAUUGAAAAGAAAUAACUCAUAUUGAAUAAAGUAAAAAAAAUUUAAAAAACAUUUAAAAGAAUUUAAGGGCAUUUUUGUCUUUCUUAAUAUUUAUCCAUGGAUUAUAAUCCAUGAAUUACUCAUCCAACCAAAUUGGAUGUAUUAGUUAUACUCCCUAUAAUACCAUAUAAGGUACAUUGCUCCUUAUUUACUACCAAACAUUGUAUUAAUUUAUCCCACAUUUUAGUACAUGAAUUAGAAAAAAUAAACCCUCCUACCAUACGACUCCUAAAUCAUUUUCGUGCCUUUGCAAAAAUGAGCCGCACCUUUUCACUCCCUUCUCUCUUCUGUCUCUCUAAGGUUAACCACAAGCGAACACCACGCUCUGGUGAGCCGUGUCGCCGGCAAGUCCGCUGCCCCUCAUUUCUUCCUCUUCUCGUUCCCUCCAUCGCGCCACCAGCCGCCGCUGCACAAUAGUCAUGCAGCCGGCGAGCAAACCAGUGCCAUCGCCGCCGCCGCCUCUCAUCAUCUCCUCUAUCUGCUACCAGCACCGGCAACCAGCCCAACGAUCAGCCGGCGAGAAAUGCAUUCAGUUAAGCCCAACGAUCCUUUUUGGGUGCUAUUGAGAAGGGUACAAGGACAUGCAUGGAGGACUCAAUUUUAAAUUACAAUAGAGCAAAACCAUGUUUGGAAGAUUGCUUGGGACUUGUGUUGAUGCCUACCAAAGGGUUCCAAGAGGUUUCACAUUUUGAAGCUUGAAGAAGAAGGGACCCACGAAGCAUUAGUGGGGUGGCCUUGGAGUGUAAACACUCAUUAAGGGUGUUUUAGUCUUUUUAUGCCAUUUCUUUACACUCCAUAGGAGCCCUUUUUCAUUUACGGUAUUUUGAUAUUUUAUGUAAUAAGCUAUAAAUAGACUCUUUAGGCUUAUUUUCUCAUUAGUUGAUUAUUGAUAUUUGAAAGACUUCUUCUUCUCUCUUUGAGAGUGUAGUGUAGGGCUUUGAAAAGCCAAGUAGAGUAGGGCUUGGAAAAGCCAUUAUUGAUCUUUGCUUAGAAACGGUGGUUGUAAGGCGGAGUUGAUUCCCUUAGUGGUCACCGUAAGAAUUUGGUGUUGUAAUUGCGGAUCUUAAGGUUCUUAUCAUUUGAUACACGAUUUGGUUCAUUUUCUCGUAA